Molecule: ribosomal RNA, 301 nt
Filed under: uncultured bacterium
Lineage: Bacteria
Description: partial 16S ribosomal RNA
Rfam family: Bacterial small subunit ribosomal RNA
Source: RNAcentral
CAGCAGCCACGGGAAUACGGAGGGUGCAAGCGUUAUCCGGAUUUAUUGGGUUUAAAGGGUCCGUAGGCGGACUUAUAAGUCAGUGGUGAAAGCCUGUCGCUUAACGAUAGAACUGCCAUUGAUACUGUAAGUCUUGAGUAUAUUUGAGGUAGCUGGAAUAAGUAGUGUAGCGGUGAAAUGCAUAGAUAUUACUUAGAACACCAAUUGCGAAGGCAGGUUACCAAGAUAUAACUGACGCUGAGGGACGAAAGCGUGGGUAGCGAACAGGAUUAGAUACCCGCGUAGUCCCUGUCUCUUAUAA